RNAcentral lists this ribosomal RNA (564 nucleotides) under Moesziomyces rugulosus. Its description in RNAcentral is "eukaryotic LSU rRNA". It matches the Rfam family "Eukaryotic large subunit ribosomal RNA", at positions 111 to 656 of the family's 3401-position model. The record is from RNAcentral. Lineage: Eukaryota; Fungi; Basidiomycota; Ustilaginomycetes; Ustilaginales; Ustilaginaceae.
AAGAUUGAAAGCUGGCGUCUUCGGCGUCCGCAUUGUAAUCUCAAGAAGUGUUUUCCGCUUCGGACCAUGCCUAAGUCCCUUGGAAAAGGGCAUCAUAGAGGGUGAUAAUCCCGUACAUGGCAUGGAGCGCCCGAAGCUUUGUGAUACGCUUUCUAAGAGUCGAGUUGUUUGGGAAUGCAGCUCAAAAUGGGUGGUAAAUGCCAUCUAAGGCUAAAUAUUGGGGAGAGACCGAUAGCGAACAAGUACAGUGAUGGAAAGAUGAAAAGAACUUUGAAAAGAGAGUUAAACAGUACGUGAAAUUGCCAAAAGGGAAGGGUAGGAGGUCAGAGAUGCGGCCUGGGAUUCAGCCUUGCUUUUGCUUGGUGUUUUUCCCAGAUUGCAGGCCAACGUCGGUUUUGGGCACUGGAGAAGGGUAGGAGGAACGUGGCACCUCUCGGGGUGUGUUAUAGCCUCCUACUGGAUACAGCGACCGAGACCGAGGACAGCAGCGUACUCGCAAGAGCGGGCCUUCGGGCACCUUUACGCUUAGGGCGUUGGCAUAAUGGCCCUCUACCACCCGUCUUG